AGUGAACGCUGGCGGUAGGCCUAACACAUGCAAGUCGAACGGCAGCACAGGAGAGCUUGCUCUCUGGGUGGCGAGUGGCGGACGGGUGAGGAAUACAUCGGAAUCUACUUUUUCGUGGGGGAUAACGUAGGGAAACUUACGCUAAUACCGCAUACGACCUACGGGUGAAAGCAGGGGACCUUCGGGCCUUGCGCGAUUGAGUGAGCCGAUGUCGGAUUAGCUAGUUGGCGGGGUAAAGGCCCACCAAGGCGACGAUCCGUAGCUGGUCUGAGAGGAUGAUCAGCCACACUGGAACUGAGACACGGUCCAGACUCCUACGGGAGGCAGCAGUGGGGAAUAUGGGACAAUGGGCGCAAGCCUGAUCCAGCCAUACCGCGUGGGUGAAGAAGGCCUUCGGGUUGUAAAGCCCUUUUGUUGGGAAAGAAAUCCAGCUGGCUAAUACCCGGUUGGGAUGACGGUACCCAAAGAAUAGCACCGGCUAACUUCGUGCCAGCAGCCGCAGUAA
RNAcentral lists this ribosomal RNA (505 nucleotides) under uncultured bacterium. RNAcentral describes it as "partial 16S ribosomal RNA". It matches the Rfam family "Bacterial small subunit ribosomal RNA", at positions 29 to 523 of the family's 1533-position model. The record is from RNAcentral.